ACGAACGCUGGCGGCGUGCUUAACACAUGCAAGUCGAGCGGUAAGGCCCUUUCGGGGUACGACGAGCGGCGAACGGGUGAGUAACACGUGGGUGACCUGCCCUCCAGCUCUGGGAUAAGCCUGGGAAACCGGGUCUAAUACCGGAUAUGACUCCAUGACGCAUGUUGUGGGGUGGAAAGCCUUGUGCGGCUGAGGAUGGGCCCGCGGCCUAUCAGCUUGUUGGUGGGGUGAUGGCCUACCAAGGCGACGACGGUAGCCGGCCUGAGAGGGCGACCGGCCGACACUGGGACUGAGACACGGCCCAGACUCCUA
This 312-nucleotide ribosomal RNA is filed under the name uncultured bacterium. RNAcentral's name for it is "bacterial SSU rRNA". It matches the Rfam family "Bacterial small subunit ribosomal RNA", at positions 29 to 341 of the family's 1533-position model. The record is from RNAcentral.